ACAGAAUCCUAGGAACACUCAGAGAAACCCUACUGGAUCAAGGAUAAAAACCACCCCUGAAGAGCAUCUGUGAAACUUAAGUCCUGCUCAGACAGGGCGGUGGAGGUCACUGACUGUUAAGGGGUGCGGGCAGGUGAAGCCACAGGCUCUGAUCCCGCAAGUAUAAGAACAAAGUGAUGACCAUAUGCAUCCACUUGGAAGCCCCAUGUGUUAUAUAUGGGCCAGAGCACAUCCUACUGUAGCAAGAAAGGACCAGGGAGUAGCUUUGAUGGACCAGGGUGUCCGGCACCCACCUGUACCUCACAAUUACCUGUAUCCUUGAAGUUACUAGUAAUGCUUGUUACUGGUCCAGCAGGGUAUUCCAGGAUGGAAUGGUACUCUCCUCCACGUGGUGACUCAAGGACUCAGGUUCUUCCAUCUGCCGGCUUCCCCAAGGGGUCCCUGUCAACAACUCAACCCCCUAAACUGUCUUCUGCACGGCACCAGAACUAUCUCCUUAAAACAUACUUUGAUCAUGACUCUUGCUCCUGAACUAUACAGAAUAUUUAGCAGAGAUUUCAGAUAAUAUGAAGGCUAUGUAAUAAUGUAGAGAAAUGUCUAUGAUAAGAGAAUAAGAUUAUGGGUGUUUUUUCUUUAAAAUGUUUUUUUCCUUAAUCAAAUCAGAAAAAAAGGAAAAUCAAAAUUAGCAACAAAAGAAAGUGAGAUUGUAAGAACACAUUGAAACAUCUUUUCAGCUUACAUUCUUCAAAAGUUGUCUUCUUUACCCUGUAAGACAUUAUAUAGCAAAGGGUCAAUUUAAAUCUCAGAAUUACUGUGCACUUUCCCUAUGCCUGGUGUCAUAUCUGGUGCUAUGACACAUGUAGAAGACAAGGUCCAUCCCUCUGUGUGUGGGUCUUAUAAGUGUUCAGAUUGUUGAACAGCAGAUUUCCACAGGUGACAGGUGAUGAGU
This is a non-coding RNA of Microcebus murinus (gray mouse lemur), 949 nucleotides long. The record is from RefSeq and is a predicted model, not a curated record. NCBI's taxonomy places the organism in Eukaryota, Metazoa, Chordata, Mammalia, Primates, Cheirogaleidae.